GGGGAAUUUUGGACAAUGGGGGCAACCCUGAUCCAGCCAUGCCGCGUGAGUGAAGAAGGCCUUCGGGUUGUAAAGCUCUUUCGGCCGGGAAGAAAUCGUGCAGGCUAAUACCCUGUAUGGAUGACGGUACCGGAAUAAGAAGCACCGGCUAACUGCGUGCCAGCAGCCGCGGUAAUACGUAGGGUGCGAGCGUUAAUCGGAAUUACUGGGCGUAAAGCGCGCGUAGGUGGUUCGUUAAGUUGGAUGUGAAAGCCCCGGGCUCAACCUGGGAACUGCAUCCAAAACUGGCGAGCUAGAGUACGGUAGAGGGUGGUGGAAUUCCUGGUGUAGCAGUGAAAUGCGUAGAUAUCAGGAGGAACACCGAUGGCGAAGGCAGCCCCCUGGGCCUGUACUGACGCUCAUGCACGAAAGCGUGGGGAGCAAACA
This 426-nucleotide ribosomal RNA is filed under the name uncultured Rhodocyclaceae bacterium. RNAcentral describes it as "bacterial SSU rRNA". It matches the Rfam family "Bacterial small subunit ribosomal RNA", at positions 356 to 774 of the family's 1533-position model. The record is from RNAcentral. Lineage: Bacteria; Pseudomonadati; Pseudomonadota; Betaproteobacteria; Rhodocyclales; Rhodocyclaceae.